GAUGAACGCUGGCGGCGUGCCUAAUACAUGCAAGUCGAGCGAACAGACGAGGCUCUUGCUCCUCUGACGUUAGCGGCGGACGGGUGAGUAACACGUGGAUAACCUACCUAUAAGACUGGGAUAACUUCGGGAAACCGGAUCUAAUACCGGAUAAUAUAUUGAACCGCAUGGUUCAAUAGUGAAAGCCGUUUUUGCUGUCACUUAUUGAUGGAUCCGCGCCGCAUUAGCUAGUUGGUAAGGUAACGGCUUACCAAGGCGACGAUGCGUAGCCGACCUGAGAGGAUGAUCGGCCACACUGGAACUGAGACACGGUCCAGACUCCUACGGGAGGCAGCAGUAGGGAAUCUUCCGCAAUGGGCGAAAGCCUGACGGAGCAACGCCGCGUGAGUGAUGAAGGUCUUCGGAUCGUAAAACUCUGUUAUUAGGGAAGAACAAAUGUGUAAGUAAAUAUGCACGUCUUGACGGUACCUAAUCAGAAAGCCACGGCUAACUACGUG
Molecule: ribosomal RNA, 497 nt
Filed under: uncultured bacterium
Lineage: Bacteria
Description: partial 16S ribosomal RNA
Rfam family: Bacterial small subunit ribosomal RNA
Source: RNAcentral